RNAcentral lists this unclassified non-coding RNA (320 nucleotides) under plant metagenome. RNAcentral describes it as "partial contains 5.8S ribosomal RNA, internal transcribed spacer 2, and large subunit ribosomal RNA". The stretch from base 1 to 105 matches the Rfam family "5.8S ribosomal RNA", at positions 50 to 154 of the family's 154-position model. The record is from RNAcentral.
GAAAUGCGAUAAGUAAUGUGAAUUGCAGAAUUCAGUGAAUCAUCGAAUCUUUGAACGCACAUUGCGCCCGCCAGUAUUCUGGCGGCCAUGCCUGUUCGAGCGUCAUUACAACCCUCAGGCCCCCGGGCCUGGCGUUGGGGAUCGGCGGAAGCCCCCUGCGGGCACAACGCCGUCCCCCAAAUACAGUGGCGGUCCCGCCGCAGCUUCCAUUGCGUAGUAGCUAACACCUCGCAACUGGAGAGCGGCGCGGCCACGCCGUAAAACACCCAACUUCUGAAUGUUGACCUCGAAUCAGGUAGGAAUACCCGCUGAACUUAAGC